RNAcentral lists this ribosomal RNA (99 nucleotides) under uncultured bacterium. RNAcentral describes it as "partial 16S ribosomal RNA". It matches the Rfam family "Bacterial small subunit ribosomal RNA", at positions 1384 to 1482 of the family's 1533-position model. The record is from RNAcentral.
UACACACCGCCCGUCACACCAUGGGAGUGGGUUGCAAAAGAAGUAGGUAGCUUAACCUUCGGGAGGGCGCUUACCACUUUGUGAUUCAUGACUGGGGUG